This 399-nucleotide ribosomal RNA is filed under the name Triticum aestivum (bread wheat). RNAcentral's name for it is "partial small subunit ribosomal RNA". Lineage: Eukaryota; Viridiplantae; Streptophyta; Magnoliopsida; Poales; Poaceae. The record is from RNAcentral.
AUGGAGAGUGCCAAGGUGCAGUUGAGUGCUAUGCCAAGCAGCCUCCAAGCCCUUGGGCUCAACCUUCCACUCCACCGGUCCAAGAAAGCGAGCUAUAUACUGUCGUGCAAGGCCACCGAUGGCCGCCGUGACGUGCUCCUCCGCCUUGCGGGCGGAGUUGCGACGGCGGGCCUAUCCGAGCUCCGUGGCGCACUUGCGAAGCCCAUCCAGUCCCCGGACUUUGGCAACUGCCAGCCGAUCGAUGAUCCCGACAAGGUUCCCCAAGUAAAAGACACCAAGUGCUGCCCCCCCCAAGUACGACGACAGAAUCCCAAUCCUCGACUUCAAGCUGCCCCCGCUCUCCUCGCCGCUCCGUGUUCGGCCAGCGGCCCACCUGGUAGACCGCAACUACCUGGCUAA